RNAcentral lists this ribosomal RNA (253 nucleotides) under uncultured bacterium. RNAcentral's name for it is "partial 16S ribosomal RNA". It matches the Rfam family "Bacterial small subunit ribosomal RNA", at positions 524 to 776 of the family's 1533-position model. The record is from RNAcentral.
UACGUAGGGUGCAAGCGUUAAUCGGAAUUACUGGGCGUAAAGCGUGCGCAGGCGGUUGUGCAAGACAGGUGUGAAAUCCCCGGGCUUAACCUGGGAACUGCACUUGUGACUGCACGGCUGGAGUACGGCAGAGGGGGAUGGAAUUCCACGUGUAGCAGUGAAAUGCGUAGAGAUGUGGAGGAACACCGAUGGCGAAGGCAGCCCCCUGGGCUAACACUGACGCUCAGGCACGAAAGCGUGGGGAGCAAACAGG